UUUGUUUAGGGGGUUGUAUGCUCUUGGGACUGAGAGGGACGAGACAUUAAUCCAGGUUCUCCACAUCUUUCUAAACAAGUCUCUUAUAUUUCAAACUUGUAAAUAAACAGCCAGGCAAGCAAGGCGUGUUAGUUUUUAUCUUUGUUUUCUCAACUUGUAAAUGUACCUUUUACUAGAGUGUUUAUCUUUGUUUGCUAUACUUUGAACCUGGGCUAGAGGGGGUUCCUCUGAGCUCUUUAAGUUUGCUUACCCUGUAAAGUUAUUUUCCAUCCUGAUUUUACAGAGAUGAUUUUUACCUUUUUCUUUAAUUAAAAGCCUUCUUUUUAAGAACCUGAUUGAUUUUUCCUUGUUUUUAGAUCCAAGGGGUUUGGAUCUGUAUUCACCAGGGAAUUGGUGAAAGGUUUCUCAAGGCUUCCCAGGGAAGGGAAUUAGCUUUGGGAAUGGUGGCAGCGGACCAGAUCUAAGCAGGUAGUUAAGCUUAGAAGUCUUCAUGCAGGCCCCCAUAUUUGUACCCUAAAGUUCAAAGUGGGGAAGCAGCUUUGACAUGGUGGCAGAGCGGUGGAGAUCAUUUUAAACCCAAAAGCCAGUAAGAUUUUUUUUUUUUGUUUUCCUUCUAGCUGCUUGGAAAGCAGAGCUGAAGGUAGAUGCAUAUCUUAUCUCUCCUUGCCUGAAGGCAGAGGUGUUAAUUUUUUUUUUUUUAACAAGGGCCUUUGUUAAGAGAAGGGUUCAAUCAUUGAGCAAACUGGUAAAAGGAAUUUACAAGCUGAAUUGUGUUUUUUUUUUUGUUUGUUUGUUUUUUGUUUUUUUGUUUUGUUUUUUCUUUUUACAUCCUCGGGAGUAGAGUUAGAAAGUCUCUUAACUCAGCAGCAGCCUGAGCUGAGAGUAUCCUAGUUUCAGUCAACUGCAGAGGGGUGUGACCCAGCAUAAGAAAACAGGGAAAUGACUACAAAAGAAGAGAAAGCCAAAGAGGAGGCCCACAAGAGAGCUAUGGAGCUGGAGAAAGCCAAAGAGGAGGCCAGAGAAAAAGAAAGGAGGCAUGAACUGGAAGUAGCAAGGGCUAGGCUGGAUACAACAGCCAAUCCUAACAACCCCUCUCCAGGUACCACUUCCCAUCCCAGAAAAUUCCCCACCUACAAGGCAGGUGAUGAUACUGAGGCCUUCUUAGAAAAUUUUGAAAGGGCCUGCCUUGGAUACACCCUCACUCCAGACCAGUACAUGGUAGAGCUGAGGCCUCAGCUCAGUGGACCCUUAGCAGAGGUGGCGACUGCAACAGCCGUAGUGGAUCCAAUCCCAGAGACCCAGCCAAAGCCAGUCCCAGAACCGGAACUGGCAACACAACCAGCACCAGAACCAUUGCCAGCACUGAGUCCAGCGCUUGCAAACCCGUCUACAACUCCAAUGCCAGAGGGCACCAGCGAGCCUGAACUGGUGAAGCAGCAGAUAACCCUACCCAAGAGGCUCAGCCAGAGCCUGAAAUACCACAUAGUGCACCAGCGGACAGCAGUUCACAGUCAAUGGAAACAGCCCCAGCCCCAGCACCUGCAUCGCUUCCAGAGGGACCAAGCCCCAGUCCACAGUCCAAGGAGGAACUGAUGUCUCCAGCAUCAAGGGAACAGUUCCAGGCCGAGCAGGAAGCAGAUGACAGCCUUCAGAAAGCUUGGGCGGCAGCACAGAGCACCCUACCGCCUCUCAGCUCUUCUAACUGAUCUCGGUUUGUUGUAGAACAAGGACUUUUAUACAAGGAGACUCUUUCUGGUGGGCACCAGGAAGACUGGCAUCCUCAAAGACAGUUGGUAGUUCCCACUAAGUAUCGGGUAAAGCUCUUGAGCUUAGCCCAUGGUCAUCCCAGUGGCCAUUCUGGGGUGAACAGAACCAAAGACCGGUUGGGGAAGCCCUUCCACUGGGAGGGAAUGGGCAAGGACGUUAUUAAUUAUGUCCGGUCUUGUGGGGUGUGCCAACGAGUGGGAAAGCCCCAAGACCAGGUCAAAGCCCCUCUCCAGCCACUACCCAUAAUUGAGGUCCCAUUUCAGCGAGUAGCUGUGGAUAUUCUGGGUCCUUUCUCAAAGAAGACACCCAGAGGAAAGCAGUACGUACUGACUUUCAUGGAUUUUGCUAUCCGAUGGCCGGAAGCAGUACCCUUAAGCAACACCAGGGCUAAAAGUGUGUGCCAGGCAUUAGCAGACAUUUUUGCCAGGGUAGGUUGGCCCUCCGACAUCCUUACAGAUUCGGGAACUAACUUCCUGGCAGGGACCAUGAAAAACCUGUGGGAAGCUCAUGGGGUGAAUCACUUGGUUGCCACCCCUUACCACCAUCAAACCAAUGGCCUGGUGGAGAGGUUUAAUGGAACUUUGGGGGCCAUGAUGUGUAAAUUCGUAAAUGAACACUCCAAUGAUUGGGACCUAGUGUUGCAGCAGUUGCUUUUUGCCUGCAGGGCUGUAUCACAUCCCAGUUUAGGGUUUUCACCAUUUGAACUUGUGUAUGGCCACGAGGUUAAGGGGCCAUUACAGUUGGUGAAGCAGCAAUGGGAGGGGUUUACACCUUCUCCAGGAACUAACAUUCUAGACUUUGUAAGCAACCUACAAAGCACCCUCUGACACUCUUUAGCCCUUGCUAAAGAAAACCUAAAGGAUGCUCAGGAAGAGCAAAAGGCCUGGUAUGAUAAACAUUCCAGAGAACGGUCCUUCAAAGUAGGAGACCUAGUCAUGGUCUUAAAGGCGCUCCAGGCCCAUAAAAUGGAAGCGUCGUGGGAAGGACCAUUCAAGGUCCAGGAACGCCUAGGAGCUGUUAACUAUCUCAUAGCCUCCCCCACCUCCAACAUAAAGCCUAAGGUAUACCAUGUUAAUUCUCUUAAGCCCUUUUAUUCCAGAGAAUUAAACGUUUGCCAGUUUACAGCCCAGAAAACAGAUGACGCGAAGUGGCCUGAAGGUGUCUACUACGAAGGAAAAAAGGAUGGUGGCAUGGAAGAGGUGAACCUCUCCACGACCCUUGGACGUCUGCAGCGACAGCAGAUCAAGGAGCUGUGUACAAGCUUUGCACCAGUUUUCUCAGCCACUCCAGGACGGACCGAACGGGCAUACCACUCCAUUGACACAGAGCUCCAGGAAGAAAUCGCAGCCAGUGUGGAACCGGACGUCCAACGCUAUCUGUGAUUUGGGGUGUGUGUCAUAACUAUAAAGGGAAGGGUAACAGUUGUCCUGUGUACAGUACUAUAAAAUCCCUCCUGGCCAGGGACUCCAAAAUCCUUUUACUUGUAAAGGGUUAAGAAGCUCGGGUAACCUGGCUGACACCUGACCCAAAGGACCAAUAAGCGGACAAGAUACUUUCAAAUCUUGCGGGGGGUGGGAAAGGCUUUUGUUUGUGCUCUUUGUUUAGGGGGUUGUUCGCUCUUGGGACUGAGAGGGACCAGACAUCAAUCCAGGUUCUCCAUAUCGUUCUAAACAAGUCUCUCAUAUUUCAAACUUGUAAGUAAACAGCCAGGGAAGGCGUGUUAGUUUUUAUCUUUGUUUUCUCAACUUGUAAAUGUACCUUUUACUAGAGUGUUUAUCUUUGUUUGCUAUACUUUGAACCUGGGCUAGAGGGGGUUCCUCUGAGCUCUUUAAGUUUGCUUACCCUGUAAAGUUAUUUUCCAUCCUGAUUUUACAGAGAUGAUUUUUACCUUUUUUUCUUUAAUUAAAAGCCUUCUUUUUAAGAA
This is a long non-coding RNA of Malaclemys terrapin pileata, 3691 nucleotides long. RefSeq lists it as uncharacterized. Lineage: Eukaryota; Metazoa; Chordata; Testudines; Emydidae. The record is from RefSeq and is a predicted model, not a curated record. The transcript is spliced from 2 exons.